This 422-nucleotide unclassified non-coding RNA is filed under the name uncultured Sebacinaceae. RNAcentral describes it as "sequence contains ITS2". The stretch from base 1 to 154 matches the Rfam family "5.8S ribosomal RNA". Lineage: Eukaryota; Fungi; Basidiomycota; Agaricomycetes; Sebacinales; Sebacinaceae. The record is from RNAcentral.
AACUUUUAACAACGGAUCACUUGGCUCUCGCAUCGAUGAAGAACGCAGCGAAAUGCGAUAAGUAAUGUGAAUUGCAGAAUUAAGUGAAUCAUCGAAUCUUUGAACGCACCUUGCACCCUUUGGUAUUCCGAAGGGUAUGCUCGUUUGAGUGUCAUUGUACUCUCACACUCUCUGAUCCUUUGGAUUCAGGGAGCGGUGGACUUGGGUGUUUGCUGCUUUCCUAGUGGCUCACCUCAAAUGCGUCAGUGCACCUCUUGGUUGGACAUAGUACGGCGUGAUAAGUAUCUUCGCCGGCACCUCGCGAGAGGGUGGCUGAUCGGGAGCUCUGUGCUUUCAAACCGUCUUCGGACAAUCUCUGACAACUUGACCUCAAAUCGAGUAGGACUACCCGCUGAACUUAAGCAUAUCAAUAAGCGGAGGCU